RNAcentral lists this ribosomal RNA (229 nucleotides) under uncultured bacterium. RNAcentral's name for it is "partial 16S ribosomal RNA". It matches the Rfam family "Bacterial small subunit ribosomal RNA", at positions 568 to 796 of the family's 1533-position model. The record is from RNAcentral.
UGCGUAGGCGGCUUGAUAAGUCAGUGGUGAAAGCCCAGAGCUCAACUUUGGAAUUGCCAUUGAUACUGUCAAGCUUGAGUAUAGUUGAAGUAGGCGGAAUGUAGCAUGUAGCGGUGAAAUGCUUAGAUAUGCUACAGAACACCGAUUGCGAAGGCAGCUUACUAAACUAUUACUGACGCUGAGGCACGAAAGCGUGGGGAGCGAACAGGAUUAGAUACCCUGGUAGUCC